UACGAAGGGGGCUAGCGUUGCUCGGAAUCACUGGGCGUAAAGGGUGCGUAGGCGGGUCUUUAAGUCAGGGGUGAAAUCCUGGAGCUCAACUCCAGAACUGCCUUUGAUACUGAGGAUCUUGAGUUCGGAAGAGGAGAGUGGAAUUCCCGGUGUAGCGGUGAAAUGCGCAGAUAUCGGGAAGAACACCCGUGGCGAAGGCGGCUCUCUGGGACGGUACUGACGCUGAGACGCGAAAGCGUGGGGAGCGAACAGG
This 253-nucleotide ribosomal RNA is filed under the name uncultured bacterium. RNAcentral's name for it is "partial 16S ribosomal RNA". It matches the Rfam family "Bacterial small subunit ribosomal RNA", at positions 524 to 776 of the family's 1533-position model. The record is from RNAcentral.